Molecule: long non-coding RNA, 3524 nt
Organism: Leucoraja erinaceus (little skate)
Lineage: Eukaryota; Metazoa; Chordata; Chondrichthyes; Rajiformes; Rajidae
Exons: 4
Source: RefSeq, a predicted model, not a curated record
AAGGGAGAUUAGUGCAUGGUACAGGUCUGAGAUAAAGGCUGGGAAAAUGGGUUUCCAUUGGCUGAAGUUUAUGGAGGGAUGAAGGCCAGCCAGGACCGAAUGACCGAGGCUUUAAGGGACAUAGGGCCCGAUGCACCGGUGUGUGCUGCUGGACGGGUAAGUGCAACAUUCAGGCAUCGGCCAAAAACUAGCGUUUCUCCAGUCAAUGUAUAUUCACGUUUACAAAGCCAAAUUGAACACAAGCGAUGUUGGAUAAACGUCUCCGCAGAGUGAAGUUAAGCCAUGACUCUAGAUUAACACCGAGAGCAGAGUUGGCAGGAAGCAGAACGCUCUGUGCAUUGAAGGCACCUCGUCGUGUGAACUCAGCCGCGCUGUGCAGGCUCACACGUGGAGGGUGCUCGCCAGCAAAAGGAGCUGAAUUGCGGAUGACCAGAGGUACACACGCUUUUGCGGGAGUGAUCUUUAAGGGAGAAGAACGCGAAAGGGGUUGAUCUGGUGCUGUUAGUGUGAGCGGUGCAGGAGGAAAGUGCGGGGGUGAUGGGAAUUGAGCGAAGAACAACAACAUACCGGAAGCAACGGGAACCAGAUGAAGGUGUACAGUAGAGAGAAUACAGACCGGAUGCAUCACCGCCUGUUUGGCAACUUGAAUACCCAAGAAUGAAAGAGACUGCAGAGAGUGGCAGAUACUGUCCUGUCCAUCUCAGGACAAUUUUACAGAGGCCAAUUCACAUGCACAACCCACGCGUCUUUACGAUGUGGAAGCAAAGCAGAGAACCCGGAGGAUACCCAUGCAGAAUGUGCUAACUUCACACAGAGAACAUUUGUGGUGAGGAUGGAACCUGGGUCACUGGCGUUGAGAAGCAGCAGCUCCACCAGCUGCACUACUGUGCUGCUCCAAAAGUAUUUAUUUCUAAAUUAACUCUGCUGAGUUAAGAUAAAUGUUUAUUCUUCUUAGUGUUCUUAGGAUCUUUAAGUAUUUUAGAUAUGGUUCAAAUUUUCACAAGCAUUUUUAAAUAACAUUUUGUGAACCACUGAUCAUGGGAGGGAUAUUUAUCUCAAAUGUAUGGAUGCAUUUUGGCCAGAGUACUGGGAACAAAGUCACACUCUUCUUUGAGUAGUGCAAUGGAAUAUUUUGUUCACCUGAGUCAGCAUAUGAGCUUUUGAUUUAAUGUUGGAUUUGAAAGUUAUUCCCUAAAUCACCUAAGAUCUGUACUGGAGCCCCCGCUAAGAUUUUGAACACAAGUCUCUAGUAAUGAACGUGACCUCAUAGUUUUCUAGCUCUGCAUUAUGAAUGCCACCAACUGACCAAGGGCUUGCACUUAAGAAGAUUUAUCUGAUACAGGAAGAGAAGUGGCAGACAGUUCCAGAGGCAAUACUGGUGGAAAGUUCGUUAGCCCACCAAAAUUCAUCCAGAAAGAUGUGUAGACCUGGUGCAGUUUCUGAGACUUUCCCUGGAGCUCAGUUAUGUUUCCAGCUGUGGCAGCUGAGAACCUCCAAAGCUUCAUCACUGAAUGGCAAUCAUUGGCUGCGCUCCAAAGACAAUGAAAAAAGGACGCGAAUAUAUUGUUCCUUCCAUUUCUUCAGGACAUUGCAAAAUGCAAAUAGUUCGGAAAAUGUUAGAGAAACCAACCACAAUUCUCAACUUUGACAGCAAAAGCUCAUGGGAACCAAAUGUACUUUUGCCAGAUUAAUUCAUUUGGUCCAUUCUCCUUUCACUUUAAAGCAUGUUAAAGAGCCACAUUGCCCGGGCUGCUCAAGUUUUACAGUUUUGCAGUCCUCCUCCACAGAAGGACAUCAGAUUUAAUUAAAUCAGUGGAAUCCCCAGUGUGUUCUUAAUUGUAGCCAAGUAUUGUGUUCAGUUCUGGGCACCAUGUUAUAGGAAAGAUGUUGUCAAGCUGGAAAGGGUAGAGAAGAUUUACUAGAAUGUUGCCAGGACUAGAGGGUCUGAGCUAUAGGGAAAGGUUGAGUAGGCUGGAACUCUAUUUCUUGGAUAUGAGGGGUAACAUUUUUACACAAAGGGUGAUGGAUGUAUGGAACAAGUUGCCAGAGGAGGUAGUCGAGGCAGGGACUAUCCCAACAUUUAAGAAACAGUUAGACAGUUACAUGGAUCAGACAAGUUUGGAGGGAUAUAGACGAAACGCGGGCAGGUGGGACUAGUGGAGCUGGGACAUGUUGGCCGUAGUGGAAAAGUUGGGCUGAAGGGCCCGUUUCCAUGCUGUAUUGCCCUGUGACUAUGACUAAGUAAUGCACAAGUCCUAACUAAGAAUCAGUCAACUUAAUGAAAUACAACGAUAUCUAUUCUCAAACAUGUGGACUGUUUUCAAUGAUAAGGGCAGCUUCUUCAUGGUGAUUCAACUAUACUGUGGACUGCCUGGAUAAUUCUAUAUCUUAUUCCUGUAUCCCAGCUCCAGACCAAGAUCAAGAGCAAAAGCAAAAGGCUUGGUAGCUGUUGGAAGGCACUAUCCAUGGCUAUAGAAAAAUGAUAGAUUUAUGGACAUUGUUAACUGGUCAUUUGCAUUAAAAUGAUUUUGUCAUGAAGCAUUGAAACAAAAUUGAGAGCUCUUUGAAGAUGGCAGAAUGAGGAAAAGAAAAUGUAACACGGUCUUGUACAAAACUAGGUGUCUAAAAUUCUCUCAUAGGUACAUGGCACAAUAUAAUUUCUUCAACGUGGGUUUGGGAACUUCUCGAAGUCCAUAAUUUUUGUUUUGAAAUAGGAGGGUGACACGGUGACACAGCGGAAGAGUUGCUGCCUUACAGCGCUUGCAGUGCCAGGUAACCGGGUUUGAUCCUGACUACGGGAGCUGUCUGUACGGAGUUUGUAUGUUCUCCCCGUAACCUGCGUGGGUUUUCUCCGAAGUCUUUGGUUUUCUCCUACACUCCAAAGACGUACAGCUACAGUUAAAUCCUGGAGAAUUGCCAUUCCUCAGCAGCACUUGAAUCCAAUGUCAGUGCAUUGUCAGAAAAAAUGUUUACGAAAGAACUGCAGAUGCUGGAAGGUUGACAAAAAAUGCUGGAGAAACUGAACGGGUGAGGCAGUAUCUAUGAAGAGAAGGAAUAGGCGACGUUUCGGAUCUCUUGCCAGCACAACAAUCCAUGCCCGUGACAGUUCCUCUGUCUGUUCCAUCUUCGCCUGCGCCACAGUCUCCUGCUUCGACCUCAGAGGCGUUGGUCCACUCCCCCACGGUGGUGAAAUCACCAACUUUGUCCCCGGAGAAGAGGAAUGGAGAUGGCAUCUAUUGUACACGUGCCGGUCGUGUUAGCAAGCUGGUCGUGAAGUAUCUGGACUAUGUUUGACUUUACAUAUGUCUGUCCUCGGUUGUGAUAUUUGCUUUGCUUAGUUAUGGGUGUACAGUGCUAUUGAUUCUUUAAGAGGGUGGAUGUAGGUUGGUGGCUCAUGCUAUGUCAUGCUUUUGUAGUUACGCCCACUAGCUUAUUAGCGUCAUGGUCUACUGCACUCUGCAGUCUAAAGUGAUCUCUCAAGUGAGACUUGUAGUUGUUUAUUCUAAAUAAACAGUGUAUAACCU